Molecule: transfer RNA, 73 nt
Filed under: Clostridia bacterium
Lineage: Bacteria; Bacillati; Bacillota; Clostridia
Description: tRNA-Cys
Rfam family: tRNA
About the family: Transfer RNA (tRNA) molecules are approximately 80 nucleotides in length. Their secondary structure includes four short double-helical elements and three loops (D, anti-codon, and T loops).
Source: RNAcentral
GACAGACUGACCGAAUGGUUAAGGUGCUUGGCUGCAAACCAUGUUUUUGCAGGUUCAAUUCCUGCGUCUGUCA